GGGUCUGGAGGCGGAGCCAGAGUGUCGCCAUGGCAACUGCUCCUGGCUUGUAGCCGACGCUUGGCCGGGCUGGGUUAGGUGAGCCCACUUUGGUUUGGAAGACGGUGUGAAAAGCGUGAUUCCGUUCAGCCACCCCGGUGCUGAGUCCCUAAAUUCUGUUAUUGCGCCUGUUUUUAAUACCUACUCUGUUCAGGCUCUAAACCUCACUACAGUUCUGUAAGACUCCCUUACGGACCCUCCUUUUCUGUCUCCCAAAGACGACCUGCCCUAACUAAACUGUUUAAGACGUCAUUUGAAGCCAUGUGUGCAAGUUACUCAGUCAUGCUGGAUUUCCCUCAUGUAUAUAGAAGAUCUGUGUUACCCUCUGGUAUCAUUCUUCCUCUGCCUGCAAGGCUGCUUUUAAUAUUUAUUAAAACAUGAUUUUGCUGGUGAAGAAGUCUGUCAGCAUUUGCAUGUCAAUAAAAUAUGAGGU
Long non-coding RNA from Talpa occidentalis (Iberian mole), 472 nucleotides. RefSeq lists it as uncharacterized. NCBI's taxonomy places the organism in Eukaryota, Metazoa, Chordata, Mammalia, Eulipotyphla, Talpidae. The record is from RefSeq and is a predicted model, not a curated record. The transcript has 3 exons.